GGCCUCCCGGCGCUUUCCGCAGGCCACGUUCUUAUGCUGACGAUAUAGAAAGAGGAGGCAAAAUAAACCCACCCGUGGACACAUCAGCCGGGGCCACUGUGCCUGGUCUGUAUUGUCAGUGGGGAGACAUGG
Molecule: small nucleolar RNA, 132 nt
Organism: Jaculus jaculus (lesser Egyptian jerboa)
Lineage: Eukaryota; Metazoa; Chordata; Mammalia; Rodentia; Dipodidae
Source: Ensembl